RNAcentral lists this ribosomal RNA (449 nucleotides) under uncultured bacterium. Its description in RNAcentral is "bacterial SSU rRNA". It matches the Rfam family "Bacterial small subunit ribosomal RNA", at positions 29 to 521 of the family's 1533-position model. The record is from RNAcentral.
AACGAACGCUGGCGGCAGGCUUAACACAUGCAAGUCGAACGGGCACCUUCGGGUGUCAGUGGCAGACGGGUGAGUAACGCGUGGGAACGUACCCUUCGGUUCGGAAUAACCCAGGGAAACUUGGGCUAACACCGGAUACGUCCGCAAGGAGAAAGAUUUAUCGCCGAAGGAUCGGCCCGCGUCGGAUUAGCUAGUUGGUGGGGUAAUGGCCCACCAAGGCGACGAUCCGUAGCUGGUCUGAGAGGAUGANCAGCCACACUGGGACUGAGACACGGCCCAGACUCCUACGGGAGGCAGCAGUGGGGAAUAUUGGACAAUGGGCGAAAGCCUGAUCCAGCCAUGCCGCGUGAGUGAAGAAGGCCUUAGGGUUGUAAAGCUCUUUCAGCGGGGAAGAUAAUGACGGUACCCGCAGAAGAAGUCCCGGCUAACUUCGUGCCAGCAGCCGCCGU